RNA transcript from Haliaeetus leucocephalus (bald eagle), 5123 nucleotides. It is a transcript of the gene named KH domain containing, RNA binding, signal transduction associated 1, with no coding region annotated. The record is from RefSeq and is a predicted model, not a curated record. The transcript is spliced from 10 exons. NCBI's taxonomy places the organism in Eukaryota, Metazoa, Chordata, Aves, Accipitriformes, Accipitridae.
CCGCUCAGGCCCCCGCCGCCGCCCCUACUCCGCUGCUGCCCGGGGCCGCUGUCAAGAUGGAGCCCGAGAACAAGUACCUGCCCGAGCUGAUGGCCGAGAAGGACAGCCUCGACCCGUCCUUCACGCACGCCAUGCAGCUCCUCACAGCAGAAAUUGAAAAAAUUCAGAAGGGUGAAACAACAAAGAAGGAUGAGGAAGAGAACUACCUGGAUUUAUUUUCCCACAAGAAUAUGAAACUGAAAGAACGAGUUCUGAUACCUGUCAAACAGUACCCCAAGUUCAACUUUGUUGGAAAGAUUUUGGGACCUCAAGGCAACACCAUCAAGAGACUUCAGGAAGAAACUGGUGCUAAGAUAUCUGUGCUUGGGAAGGGUUCAAUGCGAGAUAAAGCAAAGGAGGAAGAACUGCGUAAAGGGGGAGAUCCUAAAUAUGCUCAUCUAAAUAUGGAUUUGCAUGUCUUCAUUGAAGUUUUUGGACCCCCUUGUGAAGCGUAUGCUCUGAUGGCUCAUGCCAUGGAAGAAGUCAAGAAGUUCCUCGUUCCGGAUAUGAUGGAUGAUAUCUGUCAGGAGCAAUUCUUGGAGCUCUCCUAUCUGAAUGGCGUACCAGAGCCAACUCGUGGCCGAGGAGUCCCUGUGCGGGGAAGGGGAGCAGCUCCACCACCGCCUCCACCUGUUCCAAGGGGGCGUGGUGUUGGUCCUCCCCCUCCUCCUCCUCCUCCUCGGGGGGCCCUUGUGCGAGGAGCCCCGGUUCGGGGUGCCAUUGCUAGGGGAGCUGCUGUAGCCCGCGGAGUACCUCCUCCCCCAGCAGUACGGGGUGCUCCCGCACCCAGAGCGCGUGCAGCCGGAAUUCAGAGAAUACCGCUUCCUCCUCCUCCUGCACCAGAAACCUAUGAGGAAUAUGGCUAUGAUGAUGCAUAUGCAGACCAGAGCUAUGAGGGGUAUGAAGGCUACUACAGCCAGGGCCAAGGGGACACAGAAUACUAUGAUUAUGGACACGGGGAGGCACAGGAAACCUAUGAAGCUUAUGGGCAAGAUGACUGGAACGGAACCAGGCCCUCCCUGAAGGCCCCGCCGGCCAGGCCAGUGAAGGGGGCCUACAGAGAGCACCCAUACGGACGUUAUUAAAAAACAAACAUGAGGGAAAAAUAUCAGUUAUGAGCAAACAGUUGUUACUGAUUCUUGUAUCUCCCGGGAUUCCCGUUGCUUUACCCACACCAGACAAGUAAUUGUCUAACUGUUUUUCUUCGUGGCCCUUUUUCUCCCACUCCAUCCUCACCCUGCAUUCUGGCUUCUGAGUCAAGAGUACAUCGCUGUGAAUCACUUGGGUGAAGAUGAGCAGGGGCAACAAGAAGUGGGUAAGUUUGUUUAUUUUUGCAACCCGUUGCAAGUUACUAACAUGUUUUGUGUGGGAGGGGGGGGGCGGCACCAUCUGAGCUGCUAAAUUGAAGCCAUUCUUUAUAUACCCACAAAUAAAUUACUCUUGUGAAAGGCCAGUUACAUGACUGACACUCUUGCAGAGGUCAUGGUGUGGAGGAGGCUUCGGUAUGUACCUGCCUAGAGUUCUCCCACCGAGAUCCCAUGCAGAAGGAGGUUUAAGUGGAUUUGAGGAGAGAGGGAAACGUAAGGAGAUCUGUCUCUGGGAGCUGAUUCCCGGCUGAGAUGCUGGCCUUCGUGGGAGCACUCUGGGCAGCAGGGUAGCGAUGAAGUUGUUGUUACCCCCUGCUCUAGAAAGAGAGCAGCUCAAGGAACGGCUCAGUAGGAAUUCCUAUAGGAGUCCAUGAUGCAUCAAAAUUAUUUGCAGAUUUUAGACCAGAUGCUGCCCAGCUAGGCCUUGCUAGUUCUACCCCUUCCACCCCCAUCGAUGGGCUCUGAAGUGUGAUCUGCCUGCUGGCUGUUCUUUUUUUUUUAUGGCUUUUUGUCUGAUGUCAUUGCUGGAGACAGCUCGGGCAGCGGUCCUGCCAGCCCGGCUGGGACACGUUCAGCUCGGAGCCCCGCAGGGCUGCACGCCUGGCAUCAGCGAGCGAACACCCUGAGCCCCCGGGAGGGGUGAUGGACCCCCAGCACCUUUGGGUGCUGGUGGGGAUCAGCACCCACAGUGGCGGGGCUCCCUCUGGUGGCUGCUCUGGCCCCACUGACGUGCUCGUUCUCCAAUAAAUACCUUCACAAAUGCACGCCGGUGCUUGCCAAACCGAGUGGUACCUUGGCUGGGGAGAUAAUCACGCAUCAGUGGAGUGACCUGCUUACACAGCAAGGACACAUCUCCCCCCAGGCCCAAAGGCAGCAGCCGUAAGCGUUUCCUUUGGGGACGGCUAAUCGCUUUCUCUCAAAUCUCGAGAUCACUGAAAGUCUGAGCUCCAUAAAUAAAAGAACAAAGAAAUAAACCCUUGCAAUGCUGAAGGAGUCUAAUGGCUUCAAAAGACAACUGUGAAAAGCCCUGGGCAUAGGACAUUGAAGGACAUAAUUCUCAUUUUAUAUGGAAUUGUAAAGCUACCAAACGAGCUUCUCUUAUCUUAGGAGUAUUGGGAACAAGAAAGCGGUGAUAUGUGGAAAUGCUGCAACAGAGUGAGAUUGCCCUCAAUUCUUUGACUUUCGCUUGAAAAUUGGAUCCAUAGUUUUCUGCUAGGGAAAUCAUAACAUGUCUGGAUUUGUGGCCUGUUUAUCAAAUGCAUCUUCAUUUACAAUGUAAUUGAAACAUCAAUUUAUACGGUGUUGUACCAAUCUUUCCCAUUUCUUUCUUAAUAGGCACAGCUUUUAUAUCAAGUGGAAAAGAUUUGAUAGAGAUCAUCUAUUAUGAUGCAGUUUUUUACCAGUAGAAGUGGAUCUUGUGACACUGCCUUUGGAGUAAUACAGCUUGCUUGUGCAUUGCAUUUGUUGCAUGUUUAUGUGAAAGAUUUUAAUGUUAUGGAGGAAUGUAAAUCUUAAUAUAUUGAAAUAACUGUAUAUGCUAAAAGUAUUUUGAAAUCAUGCCCUGCAUCAAACAUCUUCCUCCCUCUCAUAGCAUUACUACAUUCAGAUUUUAGCCUAGAGUCUGCAAAAGCUAAUUUGAGAUCCCAAAAUAGCCAUCAGCAUCGGAUGUGUCUCUCAAAGAUGCUCUAAUUAGCCAGACGUUCCGGGGGUGAUACAGGACUUGCUGAAAUUUGUGAGGGGUAGAGAUUCCUUUGAGUACUGAAGUCUGAGUCACCUAAAUAACCUUCCCUUUUAUACUGGCAUGUAGCCACUGGAGGUGGUAUUCUGCUGGCUGUGAGCUAACAACCGCCAGUGAUCUUUCAUCCCCCGAUUUCCCCAAAGGACUAAUCCACAUCUUAUUAUUUGUAGGAUUUUGGUAAAGGCCAUAAUCAAGAUAAAGGCCUCCAUUGUGCUUGGUACUGUACAGUGUGAUAUACAGCAGCAGUCACGUCUCCUCUGUGGAAGUGUUUCCCAACAAUACUGUUCUUUUCAAGAGAAGCUUGGCUCUAGAAACAUCUUCCUGCUGCAGAGUGCUCUGUGUCCCAGCAGUCCCAUCUUCUCUGGCCCUUGCUCUGAGUGGCCACAGCUUCUUCAGCCUCUAGUCCAGCCCUUUGGUAUAAAUACUCCGGCUGGCCUUGCUUGGAGCUGGUACAAACCUGGACUUUACACUUCCCCGGUGAGGUCUCACCAUGCAUAGCAGUUCAUAGCCGGUAUCUUGGACAGCAACAGGAGUGUGAAACUGAGCUUGCAGGAAAAACACUCCAACUGGUAUUGCAGAGAUAUCCCCAGCAGCUUUUCCUGGAAAGAGACUGUCAUACCCUGCCUGUUCCUUAACCCUGGUUUCAAGUUGCUGUUCGGAUUAUUAAAUAAAGCAAAUGGCUACAGGCUUUGUUUUAUAACUUACCUAUGGUAUUUUUAUGUUUAACUUAAAACACUGUGCUUUCAGUAAGGCAAAGACAUUACCUUGAUAGGGCCCUCUGUAAAAUUCCCUAUUUGGUAAGUUGGGUUUAAGAGCACAGCUGGAUUCCCUGUUCGGCUGUUAAAGCAGAUGAUUCUUUUUGUACAGAAUGAGUUUUUAAAUUUGUAUGAGAGCAUCUGUCACAAACAGAGCCAAGAAAAACAAUUUAAAUGUGCAUGUCUUCCCUUCCUCAACCCAUGCCGCUGCUCUCCUAAAGAACACUUGGGCAGAGGGUGAUUCCUGCAGCCUGUGAUAGACCCUCCAAAUGGCCCCAGAGGAGGAGAGACCAGCUGUGACCCGUCUGCUGGGAGAUGCAGAGGAGAACAGGCGGUGUUGCAAACACAGCUCUUCUCUCAGCUGCGAGGAACAAGUACAUAUGGUGCUUUUGGGGAGGAAGACAGGGCUUAGGGAAAUUCUUCUUUAAUUGAUAAACCUAUAACAUCUUGGAUGAGAUGUUGGACACAUGCCCCAUUUGUAAGCUUUGAGGGGGAGGAAUUUCUGCAGGCUAGUCAGGGCCCAUGGGAACUCCCAUCUCGAAUGUAGAUGUUACUCCUCUUUUUCUACUCAGGAAGCUCAGUUCCUUUGAGCACAGAACAGAAACCUUUGCUGUUAUUGCUCAGUUGAGCCUUCCAUUGCUACCAUAUGUUUUAAUAGAAAUGUUUGUUUCCAUGCUCAUUUUGCUCCUUUUGCAAAGUGGGAUGAAUCUCCGACGAGCUGAUUUCAGAUCUGAUAAAGGAGCACCGCUGAGAUGCCGUUCGCUUUACUGUGGCUGGGAAAUAGGAACCUGCCAGCUCUUGGUGAGUGUUGGAGAACACCGGAGCCUCCCUUGGCUGCCGCAACCCCUGGAGAGCAGCAACUGUGUGUUGGAGUACUGAAAUAUAAAGUGUUUUCCAACGAAGCUGUUACUUUUACCGCUGGCUUUAGAACCAAAUACGACCAAAGGCUUGUACGCGCUGUUACAGAUGCAAACCUGUUUUUAACCUGACAUCGGUGCCUCCUACCUGUUACCUUUAUGGUUGUUCCUGGAAGACUUUGUUAAAACCGCAGGUGUCUGGAUACUCCUGGUUUUUGAUGGCUCUGCACAAUGUAGGUUUCAAAACCAGUAAGAAAUGAAAGAUUGGCCCUGUGAAAGUUCAUUAAUGUUAGAGCUGGUUUUGCCUCCAGCCUAGGCAGGGGUGGUUCUCCGGAUUGUAUAAUGCUCCAUCUGUACUGAAGCAUCA